UAUCAUUUAUCAACUUUAUUUUUGUGUGUGUCUUAGAUGUGAAUAGUUCCUAGAACUAGAACAUCGCUGGUCAUUGUUAGUGUUCUAUGUGUGCUGUGUAUGUAUAUUAAAUAGUUUGAGAAGCUGUGGUUAGGUAUAUUUUAGCUUUGUGGAACCUAAGCAAAAAAAUAUACAUCAAUACAAAAAAUGUUGCAUACAUGUAGGAGCAAUGAAUAAGCUCGACUUGGUGUUAUAUGAAAUCUUUCCAAAAUAUGUAAGGAUAUUCUACACCUCUCCAAAACUGCUAAGGGUUGUUUUUUUUUAGAGUUGUUUUGUAUUAGGUAGUUUAAAAAGAAAAAAAAAACAAUUAUGAAAGAAAAAAAAAAUGAAAAAAUAUAAAAAAAUGACAAAAAGAAAAAAAAAGACAUUGGUGCACGCACCGGUACUCGAACCAGGGGGUCUGAGAUGUGUUCAGCAUCUCUAUCCACUGGACUACGAGGCACCUAGAAUCAACUUGGUCGUAAUAGAAGCUUAUAGCAGUUCUUGGUAUGUUAGGUUGAACAAAAAUAGGUAGAAAAAAAAGGUAAAAACAAAAAAACAAAAAUUAAUGUUCAAGGACAAAUUUUCUUAUAAAAUUUUCGAAAUUCGAAAUUUUACAAAAAAAAAUUCACAUAUACAGUGAAAUAUAAUAUCAAAAAAAAUCUUAAAAUCGGUGAAUUUUGACCAAAAAUGAUAAGAAAUAUUACACAUAUUUUUGAAAAAUUCAGAAAUGAAUUUUAAGAUAUUAUUUGUAUUUUUGUGGUCAAAAACCAUUGAUUAAAUGACUAAACGGAAACCCAGAUAUUUCGUCCAUGAUUGUUUUGAGAGUGUAUGUGUGAGGGAACCUGUGAGUCUACUCAAGGGUAUAAAUAGUUCAAGAAAAUCAUAAUCUUUCCUUUUUUUGGUGAUUUUUUCCGUACAUUACACGUUAUACGUUAUAUCCGAGUCAAAGAUACAAGAAGUUUUUUUUACAAGUGUUUUUUUUUUCAAUUUCAAGUUUUUUUUUAAAAAAAGUUUAAUUUAAAGUUUUUUUUUUCAAGUUUUUUUUUACAAAUAAUUGUUAUCUUAAAAAAAAACAAUACCUACUUUUGUGCGCAAAACCCAAUUAUUUUAAAAGGUGAGAUUUUUUUUAAUUGAGUUGGCUUUACAUUUUACCCUAAUACUUGCCCUCGUGAUUUUUUUCUACCAGGUGCUCCAGGUGGAGAAAAUUCUAAUUGUUUUAAUUAACACCUACAUACAUUAAUUUUGUGUUUUAUUAAACAUUACUGCUUAAAAUUAAAGGUGCUCCAGAGUAAAAAUCGAUCGAAUUCGAUUCGAAACAAAAAAAAAAAACCGACCAUCCAAUCAGACUUUUUAAAGUCUAAAAGUGCUCUUUUUGCUAAGCCACACAAUAUCGCCCAAGUUCAGAAAAAAAAACUAUUUGACUCGCAGCCUGAGCAAACAAAAAAAAAUCACCCCCAAAAUCUCCAUCUUGGAACCUUUUUAUUUAAAUGUGUAAAAAAAGUACAUAUUUUUAUUUUUUUUUGAUCCUGUUUAAAAAUCCUGCAAGGACUAAAUAAAAUUAACAGCAAAAAAAAAAA
This is a long non-coding RNA of Episyrphus balteatus (marmalade hoverfly), 1598 nucleotides long. RefSeq lists it as uncharacterized. NCBI's taxonomy places the organism in Eukaryota, Metazoa, Arthropoda, Insecta, Diptera, Syrphidae. The record is from RefSeq and is a predicted model, not a curated record. The transcript has 2 exons.